Molecule: long non-coding RNA, 769 nt
Organism: Paramacrobiotus metropolitanus
Lineage: Eukaryota; Metazoa; Tardigrada; Eutardigrada; Parachela; Macrobiotidae
Exons: 3
Source: RefSeq, a predicted model, not a curated record
AUACGCAGUGAACCCCACUCAAAAGGCCUACAUAAAAGUGCGCGACCCGAGCGUGGUGAAUCUUUCAGUAAACAAGUGCUUUAAUUCCUGCAAUUUUUGCUUGAAAAUCCGCUUCCAACUCAUUUGCUUGUGUUUUCGAAUCGUUUUUAGUCAAAAGUAUCUUUCUCCAGAACAGGAGCAAAAUGACUGGAGGAGACUGCUGCUGCAAAUCCGGAGAGAAAUGCUGCUGCAACAGCACCGAUGGACAGUGCAGAUGCGCUGACUGCAAGAGCUGCCCGGAUACCUGUGGAUGCAAGAAAAGUGGAUCCAAAUGUCCUUGCACUAGUUGCAACUGUGGGGAAUCGGGAAAAUGCCAGACUGGAGCGUCGGGAAAGGCAUGUGGCUGCUGCGAGCACAAGUGAAGAAUCCAUAAAUCAAGGUCAAUGGCCUGAGCGCCUGCAUGCUGUGUGCCGCUGUAUGUCGGUAUCGGUAGUAAACGGUCUAUCAAGGCCAUCGAGGUUAUCAGCAUAUGUUUAGCUCGCAGUUUGUGUGUACUGAAAUGCAUGGCGUUAGAUUUCACUCCAUGAUUCUUACCGUUGAUGUUCCAUUUGUUUACGAUUCCUUUGUUUGUGUACGUUUUUUCCAUGUUGAUGUUCCAAUUGGGAUGUAUACGUACUGUACUUUACUUUCUUUUUCUCACAUACUGAAGGAAUGUGGUUGAGUAGUGUUUUCGGUUGCCAUAAAUUCGAUUCGAACUGUUCAAAAGUGCUCAUUAAAAUUAUUAUAGAUA